CGCCAAUUCAUCAGAUCGUCUAGCGAGCAGUCUGUUAUCUCUGGGAGUGACAAGGUUCCGGGCCACCACCGCAGCGGUCAUGUCAUUUUUCAUCACCAAAUCCCCAACGGUAAGAGGACCGGUAGGGGAUAUGAAAGAUGGGCGCCAUAUGUUGUCUGGUGAAUGCAGGGCUGCCUCUUCACCACGGUUCAAGUCAAAACGACGAUCGGAAGGGCCAGACAUUUUCUGAAGGUGUUGAGAAAGAAGAGAUCGGACAGAUUAAGAUUAAACAAGUGCAAGAAGGGAGUGUUUACAGGAGGGAGCUCAAGUGUGUUGUGGAACAAAAUUAGCGCCUCUAUAAAAAGAAGAAAUCAAAGAGGCGCUCCUCAGAAAUUGAAGAGGCGUCCUCUCGCAAAUCGAAGAGUCGGGGCUCCGUUCUCAAAAGCCGGAUUCUUUUCUCAAAAGAGGCGUUUCAUUUCUUAAAGGCUGGGCUUGCUCAGAAACCACGAGCUGAACCCCGGAUUUCAAAAGAUCAAUUUGUCCAGACGUGUCGUCACUUGUCACACGCAAAUUGCUUUGCGAAACUCUCGGGCAGUUUGUCGAAGCACCAAUUCAGAAAUCGAAGAGGGAAAUUCAACAGUCAAAGACACGCUAGCU
This 636-nucleotide long non-coding RNA is filed under the name Malus domestica (apple). RNAcentral describes it as "long non-coding RNA (MDOM_LNC019551)". Lineage: Eukaryota; Viridiplantae; Streptophyta; Magnoliopsida; Rosales; Rosaceae. The record is from RNAcentral.